GAACGAACAAUCUGCUUUUACCUGGAAUAAGUUGCAGCGACACGACAAAGAGGAUUCCCCUGACAAGUGGAGGACAGAAGAAGAAAUGGCAGCUGAAGCAGCAAUUCUGAAGAAGUAUUUUCAGGAAAAUUAGAGAUAACAAAGUGUUUGAAAAACAUCCUGUGCCAUAAGAAACUCCCCAGGAAGAAAGGCCUCGUGCUCCAGUUCUCGGUGACCCUGGAGCUGCAGCUGAACAACUUUAUGAUGGUCUACAAAUAUGGGAAUCUUCCACGACCAAUUUUAUUGGACCUUUGGAUAUCACCAAGGUUGAAUUUCAGCUAAAACAUCUAAGAGCACUGAUUCAAAAUAUUGCUCUGAGUAGUAACUCGUAUCUUUCUGAAUUGUGUAUUUGGGAAUGAAUCUUUUUAAAUUGUCCCUUGGCCUACAUUGCAAUAAAGUGCUAGCAAAAUCAGGUAGCUACUGUGUUUAG
RNAcentral lists this long non-coding RNA (469 nucleotides) under Strigops habroptila (Kakapo). RNAcentral's name for it is "lncRNA (ENSSHBG00005016065.1)". Lineage: Eukaryota; Metazoa; Chordata; Aves; Psittaciformes; Psittacidae. The record is from RNAcentral.